CUAGUACUCCCUCCGUCCGGAAAAAUUUGUCCUUGAUAUCGAUGUAUCUAGCACCAAGUUAGUGCUAGAUACAACCAUUUAAGGAACAAGCUUGGGACAAGUUUUUCCGGACGAAGGGAGUACAAA
Non-coding RNA from Triticum aestivum (bread wheat), 126 nucleotides. Lineage: Eukaryota; Viridiplantae; Streptophyta; Magnoliopsida; Poales; Poaceae. The record is from Rfam.